RNAcentral lists this ribosomal RNA (5413 nucleotides) under Triticum aestivum (bread wheat). Its description in RNAcentral is "partial small subunit ribosomal RNA". Lineage: Eukaryota; Viridiplantae; Streptophyta; Magnoliopsida; Poales; Poaceae. The record is from RNAcentral.
GCCCAAAAUUCAGCAUGGAAACCUUCUCGUCAAGGUCGCCUUUCCAUAUGCGGGCGCGAGGAGCGGUGAAAACCCUAGCCAAUCCUCUCUCGUCCCCGCGCCUCCAUUAUCCUCCCUCCACGCUAUCCUCCCGCGCCUCCCUCAUAGCCCCGGCGCGGCGCCGCCUCCACCACCUCCUCCUCUCUCUGCUUGCCUCCUCUCUCGCUCAAGAAGGCGGACCGAGCGGCGGCGGCAUAUUGUCCGUAGAUGGAGAAGGCGGACACGAGCGGCGGCGCCAUCUUGUCCGCGGAUGGCAGACGUGUUUCUUGCCGCCGCCGCUGCUCCUCUCCCUCGCCUCCUCUGCGACGCUUCCUCCUCUUCUCUUCUCCCGCUCCAGUCAUGGCGGUGGCGGCCGGGCCAGGCAGGGCGGCGGCGGCCGGGAACGGAGAAGCGGCCGGGCUGGGAGAGCGUCCUCGUCGCCUUCAACCUCCCCACGCGAGAGAGGAAAAAGUAGGGACGGUGAAGCCUUGGGUUACAUGACAAAUGCAAAAAACUUUUCAAACAGGUGUGCCUGCAAUGGAACAUUGGAUUUCAGCAAUAUUAUUGGUUCUGCAUACAAGGAUACUAUCAAAUGGAGUUGAAAUUGUAGCUGCGUUAAGUUUGGUGACAUUUGCAAAGGAUUGGUUGAAAGAACAGAGUCACAAUACAGGAAAAUGUUGUUCUCCUGUUUUUGACUGCAUCCUUGUGCCGUCGUUACAAGCGAUUUCCCUUCACUACAGCCCCUUUCAUGUCGUCGUUACAAGAGAUUUCACAGUUUCCCCUUGUUACCAUGUUCUCAGUUAAAAUGCAGUUGUAGUGCUCCAAAGGCUAAACCUUGAAAUCAAAUGUAAUUUUGAAGCCAUUCUUGAUUAUUUUGCCAGCUGCGGUACAUGAUCAGAACUAAGGCGACAAUGGCCAGACUAGAUAAGUUAUUCAUUCAAUGUUUUUCUACAUCCCGAUUAAUGGGCAGUUUGGAGAGCGUUGUGUAAUCUCUACUUUAAUGAACUAUAUUAUAUCGGUUAUUUUAUUCUUCCUUUUUUUAUUCAUUGGCUUUACUACUUUAUAGGCACCUACCAGAGGCUAUAAGGAAAGUGAGCUUGAAUUAUGGUGCAGGAUGUCAGUAAAAUAUGUGAAUGGAUCAAGAAUUGUGUAUGUAGAUAUUGAUGCAAGUUGGUUGCAUUUUAGAGAUUGAACAACACCUGCUUCGUGUUUGUGUAGAAAGAGGAUGGCAUACUUUGCAUAAACUUGUGUAAUAUAUCAUUGUUUUAUUUCUGGGUCAGCAUUGAUUUUUUUCUCCAUUCAAAGAAAUUGUUUGCUAAAAGGGACAAAUAACCAUCUUAUAUUUCUAGAUAAUAUUCAGAUUCAUUAAAAUAGUGGUUUCAAGUGUCGCAUUCAAUACUAGAGUAGUAAGGAUUAAGGUACAGAACUUUGUAUGUUGUGUAAGAAUAAAACCAUUUGUUUAUCUUGCCAAGUUUCAGUAUUAUUACUUAUGAUAUCAUUCUACCAAUUGAUGAUAAGACAAUUGCCUAGAAAGAGCAGCGAUAAGACAAUGUACAAAGACACAAUAUAGUUAUAUUUUGCAUUUCUAGGGGAAAUUGCUGCUCAUUGAUAUUUGUUUGAGCUUCUAAUUUCUGUUUCCCCUAGAGUAUUGUUAAUGCUUUACCUUUUAUAUUAUAUAGUUCAAGCACUCAGAAGAACUUCUCUUGUCGUAGGUCUGGUGCAUAGAUUUAAUUGACACAUUGCCAGUUUGGACAACACCUUCAAACAUUAUCUCGGAAAGAGUUCAUCUGCACAACAAGACUUGGAUGGAAAGGCCUUUCUGCCCCAGCACAACAUAACUCCUGGGGUCAUAUUCGGCCUCCCAAGGUCCUACUAGGGUUGUUCUUUCUAAGGGUGAAGCAUUGACUGUUGUGCCAAUGCCGGGCAAAAGGAAUAGCUCUCUUGAAGGACAAAAUGCUGUAACUCCUCUUCAUAUACAAGAUAGAACUUAUGACUUCAAUUCCGGUGAUAGAAAUAGCCAGAUGGAUCACGAAAACAUUGUGAAGAUGGUGAGAUAUUGCAAGGAGUCUGAUCUGUUCUGAGGAAUGCUUGUCUUUGAGUACCAGCCAAAUGGGACCCUCUACUAGCAUCUUCACGAUGGGAAAGGAUGUUAACUAUCUUGGCCAUGGCGGGCGAAGAUUGUGCUCAGCAUCACGCGCAUUCUAAGACACUUGACACUUAACCGAUGGCUCUGUUCGCGCUCCCCGUGUUGACGGCCAGUUCAGUCUAUUAGUUAUAACAUGGCUUCUUCACUGCAGUUGACAACGAAGACUGCAGGGUGAAAACCCCACAGCAAAUUUAUUGAUUAGUAAAGUCAUAUACAAAAGAUUUGCAAAGGUUAGAGAGUCAGCUAGCUAUAACAGAGAGUCAAUCCAUAUUGCAAACUGUUGUGAGUACUUGGCUUUCACCCUAUGCAAGUGUAGGGUGACCUCAUGCCUAAAUUUGCUUCUCCAGGAUCUAAAAGAUGGCAACAAUUCUGAAAAGGUAAACGUUUGCUGCCGGUCGACCGGCUAGCGAUUGCGCCGGUCGUUGCACGCGCAUCUACCUCUCACGCAGCCACAUGCUCAAUCAGGCCCACACCAUCGCCCGUGUCCCUUGGUUGCCUUAUCUUCUCACGCGUUUUCUCCCCACGGGGGCAUCUUCCACCUCCCGCAAGCACCAUUCCCUUCUCUCUCUCUCUCUCUCUCUCUCGUGGCGUGUUGCUGUUGCUCGCGCGCAUCUUGUCCCUGGCAGCAAGGUUGUCGGCGUCUGCUCCUCUCCGGCCGCUGGGUGCCCGCGCAACGAGCUUUUCCCGUGGCGAACGCGAGCAGCUCCCGAAGCCAUGCGACCCGGCUGCGUCCGAGGAUGCUGGAACCGUCCAGUCCCGGUGCUGUGACCCAUGAGCACCUGUGCUUCUGCCGGCUGCGUUUGCUGCCCUCUCCCAACCCGCCUGCUACAACGGCGCACCCGACGGCGGUGUUGCAACCAACACCAGCCGGAGCUGGAGACGAUGUCCAUAGGUGUUGCAACCGGCACCGCACGAUACUGGAGUGAGGUGUUGUUGGUAUGGCAGCUAGUCAAGCGUGCUUCAACCGGCUUGAAAAAAAGCUUCAACCGGCAUCGAAAAAAGCUUUAACUAUGAAAAUAAGCUACAACCGGCGCAGAAGAAAGGCUUCAAACAUUGAAAAAAAGCUUCAACCGGCGCCGAGAAAAGCUUCAACCGUUGUGAAAAAAAGUUUCGAUCGGAAUGGGAAAAAGCUUCAUCCGGUGUGGAAAAAAGCUUCAACUGGUGUGAAAAAAAGCUUCCACGGUGAAACUUCGAAAACGGGCGCCGACGGAAAUCUACGGGAGGACGGCGAAAGCUGCAACGACAGCUACAAGCGUCUAUGGAAAAAGCUUCAACUGACCUGAGGAUGCUACAAACAUGGCUGAGGAUUCUGGAGCCAGCUGCGAGCAUGCUACAACCAGGUCUAACUAGAAAGGACGGCAAGCUGCUGGCAGCGUUGAUGGCCGGAAUUCGGCAUGCCGCGACAACGGUUGGGAGAUAGCGCACUGUGCGAGGCGAUUUUUGCUACAGGUCACAACGAGCGCGCUGAAUCAACGGCGACCGCGACCGGCGGCGAGGGCGGCGAGCUGCUACCGGUGGCGGGGGUGUGGCCGGAGGAGGGCGGCCGAGGCAUGCGAGGGAACUGUUUCUCGUUGACAGACGUGGGGGGUAAGUGAACGCGGGCGAGUAAAGGAAGAGAUCUGGGUCGCUCAAUCUCAAACGAUCCUACGAUCCAGGUGCGACCAGCCCAACUUUGGGCCGGCGCACCGGCGCCUAAUAGUGCCCUUCUGAAAAAUAGCUUCAUUUCUCUGUUUCCAAAUUGCCAGGCAGCCAGAAUAACAAGCUCAGUGAAGAAUGGGUGACCAAACUGCUGCUUUGUCAACAUAAAACUCUGCUCAAUGGAGUUACCCUGCUGCCAGUGAAUCUGUAGAUAGUUCCAUAUCCUGAUGCUAAAGUUGCAGCCAAAAAAGAGAUGCAUCCAAUCCUCAGUGCACCUUGUGGGACACAACACACAGCGAGACAUUCUCCAAAAAAAAACACGCACAGUGAAAGACAUCAGUGACAUUCCAGUGUCUUCUGCGAAGCAUGUCUCUGGUAUUUAGUCUAUCACUGAAAAGCAGCCAAGCAUGGUAUUUUCAAUUUAAAUCAUGUAAGUGUGGUUUGUCAUGGAUGUGAUACUCCGUGCUGCAAUCAUUUGGCAAUCAUUCUUGCCAUGAAGAAAUCGUAGAGAUUACCACCUUUGAGAAGGUUAAAGAUACAAUAUGUUCUCCUCGAGUAAAAUUAGUUCUGUGCAUUCUGAAAUAGUAGUUAUGUCUUGCAACUUCUGGUCACUGCUCUUUGCUAUAAGAAUCAUUGGUUGUUCAGGUAAAAAAAAAAGAAUCAUUGGUUGAAUGAGCAUUCAUAGGGCAUAUUGUGGUGUUUAAAAUCUGAAUAGUCAGUUGCUCUUUUAUUUCUUUAUUGCAGCUACCAUCCCAUAUUAAAUCCCUUUGCAUGUAUUGACUAUUUGUUCUGGAUUCUGGUCAAAACAAGAACAUUAAUGUUGGAAACUAAAUAUGCAAUUUUGUCUGCAAGAAAUUUAACUAAUGUCAUUUGUAUUUCAAUCAAAUAACUUAAUAAUGGUUUAAGCUCUGGACUGCUGCUUUUGCCCGCAGAAGAUUAAUUUUCCUUUUACAGGUUUUUGUACAGCUGUUGAUUGUGCAAUGCUCAUGCUUUUGUAGAGUGAAAGAUAGAAUCUUGCCAUUUCCGUUGGAUGUCAUGAAUUUUUGCAGAUGUGUGAGUAGAAGAAAUCCAAAAGGGAUGAAUAGUCGUUGAUGUAUAGCGAUCACAUUGGAGCCCUCAUAGUCGUCGAUGGAAACACUGAAGCGAGGUUUCAUACUUAUAAUUCGUACUAGCAAUGUGUCCGUGCAUUUCAACGGAUCCAAAGUAGAAUAAUGCAUGUUUACAAACUUGAAAGAAAAACACUCUAGUUUUGGCGCGCGCGUGUGCGUGCGUGUGUGUGUGUGUGUGAGGUUUCAUUCUAUAUUCCUCGUGGCUGUUUUGAAGAGGUGAGGGAGGGAUGUGAUUGGUUUCAAGAUAUGAGGGGUUUUCUGUUAAUUGCAGCAGAGAAGUGGGGUCUUGUUGCAAAAAUACCACAGCUUAUCUCACAGUCGUUAGAUGUAACGAUACGGAUCUGAUGGUCAGGAAUGAUAGAAGGCAGACACGCCAUCAUCACAAACUCAGUCUUUUAUAGAAGUAGAGAUAUAGCUGCAACGAUUUUGAAUUUGUAAUGACCUCCUUAUAUUAAGGACCGACAAGGCAAUAACACAUUGUUGACCUUCUGUUAUUUUUGAC